UACAGAGGUCCCAAGCGUUGUUCGGAUUUACUGGGCGUAAAGGGUGCGUAGGUGGUGAGGUAAGUCUGAUGUGAAAUCUCCGAGCUUAACUCGGAAAUGGCAUUGGAAACUACCUUGCUAGAGGGUUGGAGGGGGGGACUGGAAUACUUGGUGUAGCAGUGAAAUGCGUAGAUAUCAAGUGGAACACCAGUGGCGAAGGCGAGUCCCUGGACAACUCCUGACACUGAGGCACGAAAGCUAGGGGAGCAAACAGG
RNAcentral lists this ribosomal RNA (254 nucleotides) under uncultured bacterium. RNAcentral describes it as "partial 16S ribosomal RNA". It matches the Rfam family "Bacterial small subunit ribosomal RNA", at positions 524 to 776 of the family's 1533-position model. The record is from RNAcentral.